RNAcentral lists this ribosomal RNA (740 nucleotides) under uncultured bacterium. Its description in RNAcentral is "bacterial SSU rRNA". It matches the Rfam family "Bacterial small subunit ribosomal RNA", at positions 8 to 796 of the family's 1533-position model. The record is from RNAcentral.
AGAGUUUGAUCCUGGCUCAGAACGAACGCUGGCGGCAGGCUUAACACAUGCAAGUCGAACGCACCUUCGGGUGAGUGGCAGACGGGUGAGUAACGCGUGGGAACGUGCCCUUCAGUUCGGAAUAACCCAGGGAAACUUGGGCUAAUACCGGAUACGUGCGAGAGCAGAAAGAUUUAUCGCUGAAGGAUCGGCCCGCGUCUGAUUAGCUAGUUGGUGGGGUAAUGGCCCACCAAGGCGACGAUCAGUAGCUGGUCUGAGAGGAUGAUCAGCCACAUUGGGACUGAGACACGGCCCAAACUCCUACGGGAGGCAGCAGUGGGGAAUAUUGGACAAUGGGCGCAAGCCUGAUCCAGCCAUGCCGCGUGAGUGAUGAAGGCCUUAGGGUUGUAAAGCUCUUUCGGCGGGGACGAUAAUGACGGUACCCGCAGAAGAAGCCCCGGCUAACUUCGUGCCAGCAGCCGCGGUAAUACGAAGGGGGCUAGCGUUGUUCGGAAUCACUGGGCGUAAAGGGCGCGUAGGCGGCUUGAUAAGUCGGGGGUGAAAGCCUGUGGCUCAACCACAGAAUUGCCUUCGAUACUGCAUGGCUUGAGACCGGAAGAGGUAAGUGGAACUGCGAGUGUAGAGGUGAAAUUCGUAGAUAUUCGCAAGAACACCAGUGGCGAAGGCGGCUUACUGGUCCGGUUCUGNNNCUGANNNGCGAAAGCGUGGGGAGCAAACAGGAUUAGAUACCCUAGUAGUCC